GCCCAGCAGCUAGCCCGCCCAAUAUAAAUCAACACCCACUAUUAAUACCCCCUAAUAUUCUUAAACCUAUUAAACAAAACAUUCUUCCCCCCUAAUACGGGCGACGGAAAAGGAACUAUGAGCUAUAGAGAAAGCACCGCAACGGAAAG
This 149-nucleotide ribosomal RNA is filed under the name Chrysiptera parasema (goldtail demoiselle). Its description in RNAcentral is "partial 16S ribosomal RNA". Lineage: Eukaryota; Metazoa; Chordata; Actinopteri; Pomacentridae. The record is from RNAcentral.